RNAcentral lists this ribosomal RNA (914 nucleotides) under uncultured marine archaeon. RNAcentral describes it as "bacterial SSU rRNA". It matches the Rfam family "Archaeal small subunit ribosomal RNA", at positions 1 to 922 of the family's 1478-position model. The record is from RNAcentral.
UUCCGGUUGAUCCUGCCGGACCUGACUGCUAUCGGAUUGAUACUAAGCCAUGCGAGUCUUUGCAGUAAUGCAAGGCAUACGGCUCAGUAACACGUAGUCAACUUACCCUAUGGACGAGGAUAAUCUCGGGAAACUGAGCAUAAUACUCGAUAGAUCAUAAUGCCUGGAAUGGUUUAUGGUUGAAAUGAUUCGUCGCCAUAGGAUGGGACUGCGGCCUAUCAGCUUGUUGGUGAGGUAAUGGCCCACCAAGGCGAUUACAGGUACGGGCUCUGAGAGGAGAAGCCCGGAGAUGGGUACUGAGACAAGGACCCAGGCCCUAUGGGGCGCAGCAGGCGAGAAAACUUUGCAAUGUGCGAAAGCACGACAAGGUUAAUCCGAGUGAUUUCUGCUAAAGGAAUCUUUUGUUAGUUCUAAAAAUACUAGUGAAUAAGGGGUGGGCAAGUUCUGGUGUCAGCCGCCGCGGUAAAACCAGCACCUCAAGUGGUCAGGAGGAUUAUUGGGCCUAAAGCAUCCGUAGCCUGUUCUAUAAGUUUGCGGUUAAAUCUAUACGCUCAACGUAUAGGCUGCCGUAAAUACUGUAGAACUAGGGAGUGGGAGAGGUAGACGGUACUCGAUAGGAAGGGGUAAAAUCCUUUGAUCUAUUGAUGACCACCUGUGGCGAAGGCGGUCUACCAGAACACGUUCGACGGUGAGGGAUGAAAGCUGGGGGAGCAAACCGGAUUAGAUACCCGGGUAGUCCCAGCUGUAAACGAUGCAGACUCGAUGAUGCAAUGGCAUAGAGCUAUUGCAGUAUCGCAGGGAAGCCGUUAAGUUUGCCGCCUGGGAAGUACGUACGCAAGUAUGAAACUUAAAGGAAUUGGCGGGGGAGCACCACAAGGGGUGAAGCCUGCGGUUCAAUUGGAUUCAACGCCGGG